GGUUUCUUGUUAGGUGUAAUAGGAAAUUAGACCUGCCCGCUGAAUAAAUACAGUUUGAAGGGCCGCAGUAUUUUGACUGUGCGAAGGUAGCAUAAUCAUUAGUUUUUUAAUUGGAGACUAGAAUGAAUGGUUGCACGAGGUAAAUUCUGUACCAAUUUAAUUUAGAUUGAAGUUAGAUUUUAAGUGAAAAUACUUAAAUAUAAUUAAGGGACGAGAAGACCCUAUAGAGUUUAAUAUUUUAAAUAUCAAUUUAGUUUGUUUAAAGUUUAAAAUUGUUUAUGAAGUAUAUUUUAUUGGGGAGAUGAAAAGAUAAAGAGAACUCUUUUUUAAGAUUUAUAAUUUUAAUAGACUAAAAGAUCCAUAAAUAAUGAUUAAAAGAUUAAAUUACCUUAGGGAUAACAGCAUAAUUUUUUUUGAAAGUUCUUAUUAAAAGAGGAGUUUAUGACCUCGAUGUUGGAUUAAGGUAAAUUUUAGGUGUAGAUGUUUAAUUUUUAGGUCUGUUCGACCUUUAAUUUCUUACA
This 521-nucleotide ribosomal RNA is filed under the name Leptomantella sp. MN322. Its description in RNAcentral is "partial 16S ribosomal RNA". It matches the Rfam family "Bacterial large subunit ribosomal RNA", at positions 1817 to 2600 of the family's 2925-position model. The record is from RNAcentral. Lineage: Eukaryota; Metazoa; Arthropoda; Insecta; Mantodea; Leptomantellidae.